AGAGUUUGAUCCUGGCUCAGAUUGAACGCUGGCGGUAGGCUUAACACAUGCAAGUCGUGCGAGAAAGUACCUUCGGGUGCGAGUAGAGCGGCGGACGGGUGAGUAACGCGUAGGAAUCUACCUAGUAGAAGGGGAUAGCCCGGGGAAACUCGGAUUAAUACCGUAUACCUCCUUAGGGAGAAAGAGGGCUUAGCUUUGAUGCUCUCGCUAUUAGAUGAGCCUGCGUAAGAUUAGCUUGUUGGUGAGGUAAUGGCUCACCAAGGCGACGAUCUUUAGCUGGUCUGAGAGGACGAUCAGCCACAUUGGGACUGAGACACGGCCCAGACUCCUACGGGAGGCAGCAGUGGGGAAUAUUGGACAAUGGGCGCAAGCCUGAUCCAGCCAUACCGCGUGUGUGAAGAAGGCUUUCGGGUUGUAAAGCACUUUAAGUAAGGAGGAAAAGAUUGUAGUUAAUACCUGCAAUCCGUGACGUUACUUACAGAAUAAGGACCGGCUAAUUCCGUGCCAGCAGCCGCGGUAAUACGGAAGGUCCAAGCGUUAAUCGGAAUUACUGGGCGUAAAGCGCGCGUAGGUGGUUUUUUAAGUUGGAUGUGAAAGCCCUGGGCUCAACCUAGAACUGCAUCCAAAACUAGAUGACUAGAGUACGAAAGAGGGAAGUAGAAUUCACAGUGUAGCGGUGGAAUGCGUAGAUAUUGUGAAGAAUACCAAUGGCGAAGCAGCUUCCUGGUUCUGUACUGACACUGAGUGCGAAAGCGUGGUAGCGAACAGAUUAGAUACCCUGGUAG
Molecule: ribosomal RNA, 785 nt
Filed under: uncultured bacterium
Lineage: Bacteria
Description: bacterial SSU rRNA
Rfam family: Bacterial small subunit ribosomal RNA
Source: RNAcentral